Molecule: ribosomal RNA, 253 nt
Filed under: uncultured bacterium
Lineage: Bacteria
Description: partial 16S ribosomal RNA
Rfam family: Bacterial small subunit ribosomal RNA
Source: RNAcentral
GACGGAGGGUGCAAGCGUUGCUCGGAAUCACUGGGCGUAAAGGGUGCGUAGGCGGUCUCGCAAGUCUGGCGUGAAAGCCCAAGGCUCAGCCUUGGAAGUGCGCUCGAAACGGCGAGGCUGGAGUGCCGGAGGGGAGAGUGGAAUUCCCGGUGUAGCGGUGAAAUGCGUAGAUAUGCGGAGGAACACCGAUGGCGAAGGCAAUCCCCUGGGCCUGCACUGACGCUCAUGCACGAAAGCGUGGGGAGCAAACAGG